RNAcentral lists this ribosomal RNA (463 nucleotides) under uncultured bacterium. RNAcentral's name for it is "partial 16S ribosomal RNA". It matches the Rfam family "Bacterial small subunit ribosomal RNA", at positions 28 to 507 of the family's 1533-position model. The record is from RNAcentral.
GAUGAACGCUGACAGAAUGCUUAACACAUGCAAGUCGAUGGGGAAGUGGUGCUUGCACCAUGGCAACCAUGGCGGACGGGUGAGUAACGCGUAAGGGACUUACCUGCAGGACUGGGAUAACAGGAGGAAACUCCUGACAAGACCGGAUAAUGUCAUGGAGCUGCAUGGCAUUAUGAUGAAAGGAGACGCCUGCGGAGAGCCUUGCGUCCUAUUAGCUAGUUGGUGAGGUAAUGGCUCACCAAGGCGAAGAUAGGUAGCCGGCCUGAGAGGGUGGACGGCCACAAGGGGACUGAGAUACGGCCCUUACUCCUACGGGAGGCAGCAGUGGGGAAUAUUGGACAAUGGGGGCAACCCUGAUCCAGCAAUUCUGUGUGCACGAAGAAGGUUUUCGGAUUGUAAAGUGCUUUCAGCAGGGAAGAAGUAAGUGACGGUACCUGCAGAAGAAGCGACGGCUAAAUACGUG